This 70-nucleotide transfer RNA is filed under the name Synodus variegatus (variegated lizardfish). Its description in RNAcentral is "tRNA-Arg". It matches the Rfam family "tRNA". Rfam says of the family: Transfer RNA (tRNA) molecules are approximately 80 nucleotides in length. Their secondary structure includes four short double-helical elements and three loops (D, anti-codon, and T loops). Further hydrogen bonds mediate the characteristic L-shaped molecular structure. tRNAs have two regions of fundamental functional importance: the anti-codon, which is responsible for specific mRNA codon recognition, and the 3' end, to which the tRNAs corresponding amino acid is attached (by aminoacyl-tRNA synthetases). tRNAs cope with the degeneracy of the genetic code in two manners: having more than one tRNA (with a specific anti-codon) for a particular amino acid; and 'wobble' base-pairing, i.e. permitting non-standard base-pairing at the 3rd anti-codon position. Lineage: Eukaryota; Metazoa; Chordata; Actinopteri; Aulopiformes; Synodontidae. The record is from RNAcentral. RNAcentral also lists the same sequence under 1 other name.
UAGGGGUUAGUCUAGCCUAAGAUGCUUGAUUUCGACUCAUAAGACGGUGGUUAAACCCCACCACCCCUAU